AGCAAUUUUAUUAAAAAGAAAAAGAAAAGAAGAAAAAGGAAGCAAGGAGAGGUUGCUUAAGUUUGAAGGAAAAACAAAGGAAAAUAGUUCUUUCUCUUUCUCUCUCUUUCGAUUCUUUUGGGCUGUAGUUGGGGGUGAGAAUUUGUGUUGAAUCAAGGGAAUUCUAGUGGUAUUGAAGCUUUGUUCAAGGUAAUCUUCUUCUCUUUUUUUUUACUUGAAGUUGUUGUAGUUAAAUUAGGUUUUGAUGUGAAUUUUGGGAAAUUGGUGGCUGUUUGAUUUGGGAAUUGCUUAGAUUAGUUUCUGGUGUUAAUUAGAGGUUGUUAUCCUGGUUAUAAGCUAAGCUAAGUGAGUAUUUUAAUGUUUGAAUUGGAUUUAAAGUUGUGAGUUCAAAUUGGAGCUUUAAUGGUGAAAUGGGAUUUUGUUUGAUUUGUUGAGAUUUGUUGCUUGGAACUGGUUUAUUUUAGAGCAUACAGGUGUUCUGGAAAGUAUUGGAAAGUUUGGGAUUAAUUUGAGUUGUGGGGGUCGGAUUUUUGGUUCCCAGACCAGAACCGGAAUUCCGGUUCCUGGGAGCCUGUGUCAACCGGUCGACCGGUUGGUCCCAGGAACCGGACUUCCGGUUGGGAACCGGCCUGCCGGUUGGGGCUUUUUCCCGAACCCUAGUUUUUCCCGUUUUUAAGUAUUUUAGGGUAUUGGCAUCCUUUUCAUCGAUAGGGUUAAGCUUAGUUUGUAUUUUAAAUCCCCGAUAAGUGUUUUAGCGAGUCUCUCAUCGGUUUUUGAACAUUAUGGUUUAGGGCCCUGUAAAACGUCGAGCUGCACUUCCACUCAGGCUGACCGGCACACUUGAGCAAGGAACGAGGUAAAGGAAAAGCAAAGCUGGAGGAACAGUGAGGUGGAACUCGGCAUGAUUGUACAUAUUGCGGCAGUGCAACCUGGAGGGUUUCGGUUUAUAAAUAUUUUGGAGUCUGUAUUUUGAAGAUGCAUGUCCGCAAAACUUUUAAAAAAAAUAUAUAUAUGUAUAUGUAAUAGUAAAGUACUUUUAACCUAAAUUUAGAUACUCGGGAUCCCGAUCCAUAUGGUUAUUAAUAUAUAAAUUAUUAAAGUUAAUUUC
Molecule: long non-coding RNA, 1108 nt
Organism: Cannabis sativa
Lineage: Eukaryota; Viridiplantae; Streptophyta; Magnoliopsida; Rosales; Cannabaceae
Exons: 2
Source: RefSeq, a predicted model, not a curated record